This 428-nucleotide ribosomal RNA is filed under the name uncultured bacterium. Its description in RNAcentral is "bacterial SSU rRNA". It matches the Rfam family "Bacterial small subunit ribosomal RNA", at positions 355 to 776 of the family's 1533-position model. The record is from RNAcentral.
UGGGGAAUAUUGGACAAUGGGGGCAACCCUGAUCCAGCGAUGCCGCGUGAGUGAAGAAGGCCCUAGGGUCGUAAAGCUCUUUAGGUUGGGAAGAAGGGUAUGUGAGGAAAUGCAUGUACUUUGACGGUACCGACAGAAUAAGCACCGGCAAACUCUGUGCCAGCAGCCGCGGUAAUACAGAGGGUGCGAGCGUUAAUCGGAUUUACUGGGCGUAAAGGGCGCGUAGGCGGCAAGAUGUGUGUGAUGUGAAAGCCCCGAGCUCAACUUGGGAAGUGCAUCGCAAACUGUUUAGCUAGAGUAUAUGAGAGGGUGGCGGAAUUUCCGGUGUAGCGGUGAAAUGCGUAGAGAUCGGAAGGAACGUCGAUGGCGAAGGCAGCCACCUGGCAUAAUACUGACGCUGAGGCGCGAAAGCGUGGGGAGCGAACAGG